UACUUAUAAUAAUUGAAUUAAAUCCUGGAUGGGAUAAGGGGAGUGGAAUUUUGGAGGAAAGUACUAGCAGCUGCAACUCCACUACCAAACUUCACUGGAUAACCAACAUCCUUAAGUACCAUUUCCACUCCAGCAAGACAUCCCAGUAGUUGCAACUACACAGAAAAAAAAAACAUGAUUUUGUUAUGUAAGUUAUACUAUAAUAAGGAAUUAUAUCAAACCUAUAAAAGUAAGAGAGCACAAAUUAACAGAGAAUGAGUUAUGUGACGGUAUUUGACUGGGCAUGAGUUUAAGAUGUUAAUUUGACUUAUAAAAUAUAGCAGUGAUGAUGAAAGAGAGCAAACAUCAUAUUUCAGUUGAAGUGUAAAUAGUAUAACAACGUUAAACGUUGUAUAGAAAUAGAAUGGUGUAAAAUAUUUUGGAACGUCCCAAAAAGGAAAUUGUGUCUCGGAAAUUAGAAUGGAUUAGGGAUGGAGUGGCAAAUUCAAAGAGAACAAAAAUAUUGAGAUAUGACUCUUAAAUAUAUGUCUAAAACCAAAUGGAAACUCUUAACACUAAAUAUUAUGAGUUAAUUUGGUUCUUGAACUCUGAAAAUCAUUAUAAGUUGACCAAACACAUCCUCUGAGCAAGAAAAUAAACAUGGAGAUUUUAUGCUUUUGGCUAAUUAGUAUAGAGUUGUAAGUUGUAGCAGCCCUUUACUUGAUGAUAUUGAAUAUCUAGAGCCAAUAGACAAACAAACCAGAGCUUAUGCAGUUAUGCAUAUGGUUGUAUGUCAACUGCUAUCUCUACACAAAUUCUCCUAAUUCUCUGAACCAAACCACAAUCUAAAGAAACUUGGUGACAGUCACAUGUUCAAGAAUGAUCUUGAAUUCCAUAGUAGCAGUCACAUGCUCGAGGAAUGAUCGCGUAAUCUUUAUCUUGUUAGACUUCACAAAAUGUGUCAUCAAAUAUGUAAUCUGCAGUAAAAGAGAAAGGUUACCUCAUUCAAGUUGCCAAGAUGUCCUAUUCUGAAAACCUUUCCUGCCACUUUGUUUAGGCCAAGACCUAAGCUU
This 1052-nucleotide long non-coding RNA is filed under the name Nicotiana tabacum (common tobacco). Its description in RNAcentral is "long non-coding RNA (NTAB_LNC018822)". The record is from RNAcentral. Lineage: Eukaryota; Viridiplantae; Streptophyta; Magnoliopsida; Solanales; Solanaceae.